CUGACGUUAGCGGCGGACGGGUGAGUAACACGUGGGUAACCUACCUAUAAGACUGGGAUAACUCCGGGAAACCGGGGCUAAUACCGGAUAACACGUGAAACCGCAUGGUUUCAUGAUGAAAGACGGUUUUGCUGUCACUUAUAGAUGGACCCGCGGCGUAUUAGCUAGUUGGUAAGGUAACGGCUUACCAAGGCAACGAUACGUAGCCGACCUGAGAGGGUGAUCGGCCACACUGGAACUGAGACACGGUCCAG
Molecule: ribosomal RNA, 254 nt
Filed under: uncultured Staphylococcus sp.
Lineage: Bacteria; Bacillati; Bacillota; Bacilli; Caryophanales; Staphylococcaceae
Description: partial 16S ribosomal RNA
Rfam family: Bacterial small subunit ribosomal RNA
Source: RNAcentral